Molecule: unclassified non-coding RNA, 262 nt
Filed under: uncultured Lactarius
Lineage: Eukaryota; Fungi; Basidiomycota; Agaricomycetes; Russulales; Russulaceae
Description: sequence contains ITS2
Source: RNAcentral
AAACCUCAACCUCCUUGGUUUCUUCUGGAGACCAAAGGCAGGCUUGGACUUUGGAGGCCUUUGCUGGAACCUCUCUCUUUUGAAGGCCAGCUCCUCUUAAACGAAUUAGCAGGGUCCUCUUUGCCGAUCCUCGACGUGUGAUAAGAUGUUUCCAUGCCUGGCUCUGUCACUUUUGGGACCCGCUUCUAACCGUCUUGACCUUGCAUCGAGACAAUGUUCGAGCAUGUCUCCCUUCUCGGGAAGCUCCCUCGACCCCACGAAC